RNAcentral lists this ribosomal RNA (506 nucleotides) under uncultured bacterium. RNAcentral's name for it is "partial 16S ribosomal RNA". It matches the Rfam family "Bacterial small subunit ribosomal RNA", at positions 30 to 523 of the family's 1533-position model. The record is from RNAcentral.
AUUGAACGCUGGCGGCAGGCUUAACACAUGCAAGUCGAACGGUAACAUAAAGAAGCUUGCUUCUUUGAUGACGAGUGGCGGACGGGUGAGUAAUGCUUGGGAAUCUAGCUUAUGGAGGGGGAUAACUACGGGAAACUGUAGCUAAUACCGCGUAAUAUCGAAAGAUUAAAGUGUGGGACCUUCGGGCCACAUGCCAUAAGAUGAGCCCAAGUGGGAUUAGGUAGUUGGUGAGGUAAAGGCUCACCAAGCCGACGAUCUCUAGCUGGUCUGAGGGGAUGACCAGCCACACUGGGACUGAGCCACGGCCCAGACUCAUACGGGAGGCAGCAGUGGGGAAUAUUGCGCAAUGGGGGGAACCCUGACGCAGCCAUGCCGCGUGAAUGAAGAAGGCCUUCGGGUUGUAAAGUUCUUUCGGUAGCGAGGAAGGCAUUUAGUUUAAUAGACUAGGUGAUUGACGUUAACUACAGAAGAAGCACCGGCUAACUCCGUGCCAGCCGCCGCCGUAA